RNAcentral lists this ribosomal RNA (432 nucleotides) under uncultured bacterium. RNAcentral's name for it is "partial 16S ribosomal RNA". It matches the Rfam family "Bacterial small subunit ribosomal RNA", at positions 29 to 507 of the family's 1533-position model. The record is from RNAcentral.
ACGCACGCUGGCGGCAUGCCUCGCCCCUGCCAGUCGAACGCGACCUUCGGGUCUAGUGGCGCACGGGUGCGUAACGCGUGGGAACCUGCCCUUAGGUUCGGAAUAACUCCCCGAAAGGGGUGCUAAUACCGGAUAAUGUCUUCGGACCAAAGAUUUAUCGCCUUUGGAUGGGCCCGCGUUGGAUUAGCUAGUUGGUAGGGUAAAAGCCUACCAAGGCGACGAUCCAUAGCUGGUCUGAGAGGAUGAUCAGCCACACUGGGACUGAGACACGGCCCAGACUCCUACGGGAGGCAGCAGUGGGGAAUAUUGGACAAUGGGCGAAAGCCUGAUCCAGCAAUGCCGCGUGAGUGAUGAAGGCCUUAGGGUUGUAAAGCUCUUUUACCCGGGAUGAUAAUGACAGUACCGGGAGAAUAAGCUCCGGCUAACUCCGUG